Molecule: ribosomal RNA, 1958 nt
Filed under: Shigella sonnei
Lineage: Bacteria; Pseudomonadati; Pseudomonadota; Gammaproteobacteria; Enterobacterales; Enterobacteriaceae
Description: bacterial LSU rRNA
Rfam family: Bacterial large subunit ribosomal RNA
Source: RNAcentral
GGGUUGUGAGGUUAAGCGACUAAGCGUACACGGUGGAUGCCCUGGCAGUCAGAGGCGAUGAAGGACGUGCUAAUCUGCGAUAAGCGUCGGUAAGGUGAUAUGAACCGUUAUAACCGGCGAUUUCCGAAUGGGGAAACCCAGUGUGUUUCGACACACUAUCAUUAACUGAAUCCAUAGGUUAAUGAGGCGAACCGGGGGAACUGAAACAUCUAAGUACCCCGAGGAAAAGAAAUCAACCGAGAUUCCCCCAGUAGCGGCGAGCGAACGGGGAGCAGCCCAGAGCCUGAAUCAGUAUGUGUGUUAGUGGAAGCGUCUGGAAAGGCGCGCGAUACAGGGUGACAGCCCCGUACACAAAAAUGCACAUAUUGUGAGCUCGAUGAGUAGGGCGGGACACGUGGUAUCCUGUCUGAAUAUGGGGGGACCAUCCUCCAAGGCUAAAUACUCCUGACUGACCGAUAGUGAACCAGUACCGUGAGGGAAAGGCGAAAAGAACCCCGGCGAGGGGAGUGAAAAAGAACCUGAAACCGUGUACGUACAAGCAGUGGGAGCACGCUUAGGCGUGUGACUGCGUACCUUUUGUAUAAUGGGUCAGCGACUUAUAUUCUGUAGCAAGGUUAACCGAAUAGGGGAGCCGAAGGGAAACCGAGUCUUAACUGGGCGUUAAGUUGCAGGGUAUAGACCCGAAACCCGGUGAUCUAGCCAUGGGCAGGUUGAAGGUUGGGUAACACUAACUGGAGGACCGAACCGACUAAUGUUGAAAAAUUAGCGGAUGACUUGUGGCUGGGGGUGAAAGGCCAAUCAAACCGGGAGAUAGCUGGUUCUCCCCGAAAGCUAUUUAGGUAGCGCCUCGUGAAUUCAUCUCCGGGGGUAGAGCACUGUUUCGGCAAGGGGGUCAUCCCGACUUACCAACCCGAUGCAAACUGCGAAUACCGGAGAAUGUUAUCACGGGAGACACACGGCGGGUGCUAACGUCCGUCGUGAAGAGGGAAACAACCCAGACCGCCAGCUAAGGUCCCAAAGUCAUGGUUAAGUGGGAAACGAUGUGGGAAGGCCCAGACAGCCAGGAUGUUGGCUUAGAAGCAGCCAUCAUUUAAAGAAAGCGUAAUAGCUCACUGGUCGAGUCGGCCUGCGCGGAAGAUGUAACGGGGCUAAACCAUGCACCGAAGCUGCGGCAGCGACGCUGAUGCGUUGUUGGGUAGGGGAGCGUUCUGUAAGCCUGCGAAGGUGUGCUGUGAGGCAUGCUGGAGGUAUCAGAAGUGCGAAUGCUGACAUAAGUAACGAUAAAGCGGGUGAAAAGCCCGCUCGCCGGAAGACCAAGGGUUCCUGUCCAACGUUAAUCGGGGCAGGGUGAGUCGACCCCUAAGGCGAGGCCGAAAGGCGUAGUCGAUGGGAAACAGGUUAAUAUUCCUGUACUUGGUGUUACUGCGAAGGGGGGACGGAGAAGGCUAUGUUGGCCGGGCGACGGUUGUCCCGGUUUAAGCGUGUAGGCUGGUUUUCCAGGCAAAUCCGGAAAAUCAAGGCUGAGGCGUGAUGACGAGGCACUACGGUGCUGAAGCAACAAAUGCCCUGCUUCCAGGAAAAGCCUCUAAGCAUCAGGUAACAUCAAAUCGUACCCCAAACCGACACAGGUGGUCAGGUAGAGAAUACCAAGGCGCUUGAGAGAACUCGGGUGAAGGAACUAGGCAAAAUGGUGCCGUAACUUCGGGAGAAGGCACGCUGAUAUGUAGGUGAAGCGACUUGCUCGUGGAGCUGAAAUCAGUCGAAGAUACCAGCUGGCUGCAACUGUUUAUUAAAAACACAGCACUGUGCAAACACGAAAGUGGACGUAUACGGUGUGACGCCUGCCCGGUGCCGGAAGGUUAAUUGAUGGGGUCAGCGCAAGCGAAGCUCUUGAUCGAAGCCCCGGUAAACGGCGGCCGUAACUAUAACGGUCCUAAGGUAGCGAAAUUCCUUGUCGG